CCUACGGGAGGCAGCAGUAAGGAAUAUUGGUCAAUGGACGAAAGUCUGAACCAGCCAUGCCGCGUGAAGGAUGAAGGCCCUCUGGGUUGUAAACUUCUUUUAUAGGGGACGAAAAAAGGGCAUUCUUGCUCACUUGACGGUACCCUAGGAAUAAGCACCGGCUAACUCCGUGCCAGCAGCCGCGGUAAUACGGAGGGUGCAAGCGUUAUCCGGAUUUACUGGGUUUAAAGGGUGCGUAGGUGGGUUGGUAAGUCAGCGGUGAAAUCUUCGAGCUUAACUCGGAAACUGCCAUUGAUACUAUCAAUCUUGAAUCAUCUAGAGGUAAGCGGAAUAUGUCAUGUAGCGGUGAAAUGCUUAGAUAUGACAUAGAACACCAAUUGCGAAGGCAGCUUACUAUGGAUGUAUUGACACUGAGGCACGAAAGCGUGGGGAUCAAACAGGAUUAGAUACCCUGGUAGUCCACGCCCUAAACUAUGGAUACUCGACAUUUGCGAUAUACUGUAAGUGUCUGAGCGAAAGCAUUAAGUAUCCCACCUGGGAAGUACGAUCGCAAGAUUGAAACUUAAAGGAAUUGACGG
Molecule: ribosomal RNA, 578 nt
Filed under: uncultured bacterium
Lineage: Bacteria
Description: bacterial SSU rRNA
Rfam family: Bacterial small subunit ribosomal RNA
Source: RNAcentral